Molecule: non-coding RNA, 114 nt
Organism: Acanthosepion pharaonis
Lineage: Eukaryota; Metazoa; Mollusca; Cephalopoda; Sepiida; Sepiidae
Source: the annotation of a GenBank genome assembly
CUUGCGGCCAUAUCCCUUCGAAACAUCGGUUCUCGUACGAACACCGAAUUUAAGCAACGCUGAGCCAGGUCACUACCUAGAUGAGUGACCGCUUGGGAAUACCAGGUGGUGUAC